GGGGAAUCUUGCGCAAUGGGCGAAAGCCUGACGCAGCGACGCCGCGUGAGGGAAGAAGGCCUUCGGGUCGUAAACCUCUGUCGGGGGGGAAGAAAAUUCUGAGGGCUAAUAUCCUUUGGAAUUGACGGUACCCCCAAAGGAAGCAUCGGCUAACUACGUGCCAGCAGCCGCGGUAAUACGUAGGAUGCAAGCGUUGCUCGGAAUUAUUGGGCGUAAAGGGCGCGUAGGUGGCCCUAUAAGUCAGAUGUGAAAGCCCUCGGCUUAACUGAGGAACUGCAUUUGAAACUGUGGGGCUUGAGUACGGUAGAGGGGGGUGGAAUUCCUGGUGUAGCGGUGAAAUGCGUAGAUAUCAGGAAGAACACCGGCGGCGAAGGCGGCUUCCUGGACCGAUACUGACACUGAGGUACGAAAGCGUGGGUAGCAAACA
Molecule: ribosomal RNA, 427 nt
Filed under: uncultured bacterium
Lineage: Bacteria
Description: bacterial SSU rRNA
Rfam family: Bacterial small subunit ribosomal RNA
Source: RNAcentral